AUGGCUGCUGCGUGCUCCAUCUCCGGUGGCUUAUCGGCAUUGGUGAUUAGUCUCGACAGUGGCAGCAGAACCACAACGAAUUGUGGUGGUCAUCAAAAGAGUUCUCGAGGGUUCCUCAUCGGUGGUUUGCUUCGGUGGUGUGAUGCAAUCUACAGACAACGGCUUGACGCAGAGGAUAUGGUUGUGCGGCGGCGGUAUUUGGUUUCUUGGCCAAAGCAUGUUGCUGCUGAGGAAGUGAAAAAGUGGUGGCAACAACACAUGAUUAACUUAGACGAGCUCCGCGGUGAAAAUCUAGGUCUAACCAUGUUGGUUAUACUUGGCAAUGGCGAUGUUGUUGCAUCGUCACCUUAUUGA
RNAcentral lists this ribosomal RNA (354 nucleotides) under Triticum aestivum (bread wheat). Its description in RNAcentral is "partial small subunit ribosomal RNA". Lineage: Eukaryota; Viridiplantae; Streptophyta; Magnoliopsida; Poales; Poaceae. The record is from RNAcentral.